GAUGAACGCUGGCGGCGUGCCUAAUACAUGCAAGUCGAGCGAACGGACGAGAAGCUUGCUUCUCUGAUGUUAGCGGCGGACGGGUGAGUAACACGUGGAUAACCUACCUAUAAGACUGGGAUAACUUCGGGAAACCGGAGCUAAUACCGGAUGAUAUUUUGAACCGCAUGGUUCAAAAGUGAAAGACGGUCUUGCUGUCACUUAUAGAUGGAUCCGCGCUGCAUUAGCUAGUUGGUAAGGUAACGGCUUACCAAGGCAACGAUGCAUAGCCGACCUGAGAGGGUGAUCGGCCACACUGGAACUGAGGCACGGUCCAGACUCCUACGGGAGGCAGCAGUAGGGAAUCUUCCGCAAUGGGCGAAAGCCUGACGGAGCAACGCCGCGUGAGUGAUGAAGGUCUUCGGAUCGUAAAACUCUGUUAUUAGGGAAGAGCAUAUGUGUAAGUAACUGUGCACAUCUUGACGGUACCUAAUCAGAAAGCCACGGCUAACUACGUG
This 497-nucleotide ribosomal RNA is filed under the name uncultured bacterium. RNAcentral describes it as "partial 16S ribosomal RNA". It matches the Rfam family "Bacterial small subunit ribosomal RNA", at positions 28 to 507 of the family's 1533-position model. The record is from RNAcentral.